UCGACGAGUUUGAUCCUGGCUCAGAUUGAACGCUGGCGGGCAUGCUUUACACAUGCAAGUCGAACGGUAACGGGGACUUCGGUCUGCCGACGAGUGGCGAACGGGUGAGUAAUAUAUCGGAACGUGCCCAGUAAUGGGGGAGUAGCUCGGCGAAAGCCGGAUUAAUACCGCAUACGCCCUGAGGGGGAAAGUGGGGGAGUCUUCGGACCUCACGUUAUUGGAGCGGCCGAUAUCAGAUUAGCUAGUUGGUGGGGUAAAGGGCCUACCAAGGCGACGAUCUGUAGCUGGUCUGAGAGGAUGAUCAGCCACACUGGGACUGAGACACGGCCCAGACUCCUACGGGAGGCAGCAGUGGGGAAUUUUGGACAAUGGGCGAAAGCCUGAUCCAGCCAUGCCGCGUGAGUGAAGAAGGCCUUCGGGUUGUAAAGCUCUUUCAGGUGGAAAGAAAGCGGAUGGGUUAAUACCCUGUCCGGAUGACGGUACCACCAGAAGAAGCACCGGCUAACUACGUG
This 512-nucleotide ribosomal RNA is filed under the name uncultured bacterium. RNAcentral's name for it is "bacterial SSU rRNA". It matches the Rfam family "Bacterial small subunit ribosomal RNA", at positions 1 to 507 of the family's 1533-position model. The record is from RNAcentral.